ACAAGCGGUGGAGCAUGUGGUUUAAUUCGAAGCAACGCGAAGAACCUUACCAGGGCUUGACAUCCCUCUGACAGUCCCUUAACCGGGACCUUCUUCAGACAGAGGAGACAGGUGGUGCAUGGUUGUCGUCAGCUCGUGUCGUGAGAUGUUGGGUUAAGUCCCGCAACGAGCGCAACCCUUGUCUUUAGUUGCCAUCAUUCAGUUGGGCACUCUAGAGAGACUGCCGAGGACAACUCGGAGGAAGGUGGGGAUGACGUCAAAUCAUCAUGCCCCUUAUGUCCUGGGCUACACACGUGCUACAAUGGCUGGUACAAAGAGACGCAAGACCGCGAGGUGGAGCAAAUCUCAAAAACCAGUCCCAGUUCGGAUUGUAGGCUGCAACUCGCCUGCAUGAAGUCGGAGUUGCUAGUAAUCGCAGAUCAGAAUGCUGCGGUGAAUGCGUUCCCGGGUCUU
RNAcentral lists this ribosomal RNA (453 nucleotides) under uncultured Eubacteriales bacterium. RNAcentral describes it as "bacterial SSU rRNA". It matches the Rfam family "Bacterial small subunit ribosomal RNA", at positions 925 to 1382 of the family's 1533-position model. Lineage: Bacteria; Bacillati; Bacillota; Clostridia; Eubacteriales. The record is from RNAcentral.